GGUGAACGGGUGAGUAAUGUAUCGGAACGUGCCCAGUCGUGGGGGAUAACGCAGCGAAAGCUGUGCUAAUACCGCAUACGACCUGAGGGUGAAAGCGGGGGACCAGCAAUGGCCUCGCGCGAUUGGAGCGGCCGAUGUCGGAUUAGGUAGUUGGUGGGGUAAAGGCCUACCAAGCCUGCGAUCCGUAGCUGGUCUGAGAGGACGACCAGCCACACUGGGACUGAGACACGGCCCAGACUCCUACGGGAGGCAGCAGUGGGGAAUUUUGGACAAUGGGGGCAACCCUGAUCCAGCCAUGCCGCGUGCGGGAAGAAGGCCUUCGGGUUGUAAACCGCUUUUGUCAGGGAAGAAAUGUCCUGGGUUAAUACCCUGGGGGGAUGACGGUACCUGAAGAAUAAGCACCGGCUAACUACGUGCCAGCAGCCGCGGUAAUACGUAGGGUGCGAGCGUUAAUCGGAAUUACUGGGCGUAAAGCGUGCGCAGGCGGUUAUACAAGACAGAUGUGAAAUCCCCGGGCUCAACCUGGGAACUGCAUUUGUGACUGUAUAGCUGGAGUACGGUAGAGGGGAGUGGAAUUCCGCGUGUAGCAGUGAAAUGCGUAGAUAUGCGGAGGAACACCGAUGGCGAAGGCAGCUCCCUGGACCUGUACUGACGCUCAUGCACGAAAGCGUGGGGAGCAAACAGGAUU
RNAcentral lists this ribosomal RNA (688 nucleotides) under uncultured Comamonadaceae bacterium. RNAcentral's name for it is "bacterial SSU rRNA". It matches the Rfam family "Bacterial small subunit ribosomal RNA", at positions 97 to 779 of the family's 1533-position model. Lineage: Bacteria; Pseudomonadati; Pseudomonadota; Betaproteobacteria; Burkholderiales; Comamonadaceae. The record is from RNAcentral.